AUGUCCGGAGCCUUUGAUGUUCUGCAAGUGAAAGAGGAGGAUGUCCUUAAGUUCCUUGCAGCAGGAACCCACUUAGGUGGCACCAAUCUUGACUUCUAAAUGGAAAAGUAAAUUUAUAAAAGGAAAAGGAAAAGUGAUGGCAUCUACAUCAUAAAUCUGAAAAGGACCUGGGAGAAGCUUCUGCUGGCAGCUCGUGCCAUUGUUGCCAUUGAAAAUCCCACUGAUGUCAGUUUUAUAUCCUCUAGGAAUACUGGCCAGAAGGCCAUGCUUAAGUUUGCUGCUGCCACUGGAGCCACUCCAAAUGCUGGCUGCCUCAAUCCUGGAACCUUCACUAACCAUAUCCAGGCAAUGUUCCAGGAGUCACGGCUUCUUGUGGUUACUGACCCCAGGGCUGAUCACCAGCAUCUCACAGAGGCAUCUUAUGUUAACCUACCUACCAUUGCUUUGUGUAACACAGAUUCUCCUCUGCACUAUGUGGACAUUGCCAUUCCAUGCAACAGCAAGGGAACUCACUCAGUUUGAUGUGGUGGAUGCCGGCCUGGCAAGUUCUGCACAUGUGUGGCACCAUUUCCCAUGAACACCUGUGGGAGGUCAUGCCUGCUCUCUACUCUACCGAGAUCCUGAAGAGAUUGAAAAAGAAGAGCAGGCUGCUGCUGAAAAGGCUGUGACCAAGGAGGAAUUUCAGGGUGAAUGGACUGCUCCAGCUCCUGAGUUCACUACUACUCAGCCUGAGGUUGCAGACUGGUCUGAAUGUGUGCAGAUGCCCUCUGUGCCUAUUCAGCAGUUCCCUACUAAAGAUGGGAGCAUUUAGCCUGCCUCGGAAGACUGGUCUGCAACUCCCACUGCUCAGGCCAUUAAAUGGGUAGGAGCAACCUCUGAAUGGUAUUAAGCUGUUCUUGCAUGCGUUCUUAAGCAACAUGGAAAUAAGGUUGAUGGAAAAUAAAUGUCCAUUUCUAAAAAAA
Saimiri boliviensis boliviensis (Bolivian squirrel monkey) is the source of this 962-nucleotide non-coding RNA. Lineage: Eukaryota; Metazoa; Chordata; Mammalia; Primates; Cebidae. The record is from RefSeq and is a predicted model, not a curated record.